AAAUUUAGAAAAAAAUAAAAAAUAUAAAUGUAAAUGGUUUCUUUGUCUCUCUCGCUUCCUCAUUGAACCCUAGCCGUAAUCGUCUUCCUCUUCCUCGAGCGCCUCCAUCAUUCCAGCCAUUUUCUACUCAGUACCCACUUCAUCUACUCCGUCCCUUUCAUGUACGACAACAAUCUCAUCACCAUCCCUUUCAUUUUCUGGAUUCGAUCCCUUUCCUGUUCUUGCCUCCAUCAUUGAGUGGAUGCCUCACAAUCACAAUAAACUCAUAUCUUCUCUCUGUCUUCACCGGAACUAAAAUCGAUAUCAUUCAAGCUUGAUUCGUCACUGUUCAAGGAUGGAGAAAAGACUUGUCCUCUAUGUGAAUGGAUUUGAGAGAUAAGAAAUUGAAAUCUUGUAGAUGUGGUUAUGAGUUUUGAUUCUAUAUGAGGUUAUAAAUAAAGGCUUCGAAUUACUGAAGGCAUCUGUACUUAGUUUAAAAAACCGAAGAUGAACAAGGCUCUCACUAUCAGAACCAAGAAUUUCAUGACAAACAAGCUCCUCAAGAAUUUUUUUUUGGGUUAUAUUGUAGUCUUGUAGCUUUCUAGUUGUCUUUUGUAAAACUUUUAUAUAUAGAAAUUAGCUUAUCAUUUUAUAGGGUAAAAAGAAUUAAUGUUUUAUUUAAUACUAGAGAUUCUAUUACAUUUAUAUUAUUAAUUAAUGUUUUAGAAUGAUAUAUUUGUACAUAAUAGAAAGUAAAUUACACUUCA
Vicia villosa (hairy vetch) is the source of this 746-nucleotide long non-coding RNA. RefSeq lists it as uncharacterized. The transcript is spliced from 3 exons. NCBI's taxonomy places the organism in Eukaryota, Viridiplantae, Streptophyta, Magnoliopsida, Fabales, Fabaceae. The record is from RefSeq and is a predicted model, not a curated record.